Molecule: long non-coding RNA, 1747 nt
Filed under: Equus caballus (horse)
Lineage: Eukaryota; Metazoa; Chordata; Mammalia; Perissodactyla; Equidae
Description: lncRNA (ENSECAG00000046967.1)
Source: RNAcentral
UGACUUCCCGAAUAGAGGGAGACAGUGACUCGGGCCGACAAGGCUACAACGGAGGGAGGGCGAGGAGGCGGGCCUGAGGCCCCUCGGCCAAUCGGAGGGGCUGGGGCGGGGCCUGGGGGGGGCCCUGCUGCGCGGCGGAGCCCUAGAGGUACAGCGCGGGAAGGCGGCCUCGUCUAGUGUGCGGAGCGUUCCCAGCCCAGCUAUCUGCUUGUCGCGCGUCUUCAGGCUUUCGGGUGAGGACAGGCGGCGCCGCCCGAGCCAGAGGACUGUGGGGACGGGAGGGCGCGGCGGCCGCGGGGCGGGGGUGUCGCGCCUUCAGGAACUGGAAGGGCCGGGUGGGGACUGGCGUUUCGUAGAGGCGCCUCCUGGCCAGUCGGCGCCUUUGUCUGCCGGGGCGCCGCCUUCUGCGCGCCACGCCGGGGCUCCCGGGUCGGUCCCCGGAAGGCCCGAGGGCGCGGCCCCCGGAGCGGCCCGUCGGCGGUGGCUGCUGGUCUGAGGCUGCGAGGAUGGGGAGUGGGGCAGCCGCCCGGAGUGGGCCCUCUGGGGCUGCCCUGCGCGCUCUCCCCCUGGGCCGAUAGGUUAAGCUGCGCGCCGGUCAACGAUGAUGCUUAUUUUACAACGUUGAGAAAACCGGCCUCUGCACCCAACCGUGUUAUUGUUUAUUAGUCCCGGUUUCCCCACCUCUGGAGGUCGGCGUCCGAUCUCUUGUCAGAGGAGGGUUUUAGGGUGACCUCGACGGAAGGGGAGCAUAUUGGGGACUUCUGGCUGCUUUAGGGGGCCUCUGUUUUACUCUGAGCGCUAGAAGUGUCUUAGCCCGCCAGGGUGGGGCCAGGCGCGCGCGUGAGAGCCCUGCUUUCCAAUCUCUUGGGUCUCCCAUUGGCUCCUCUGGACAAACCUCGUCUUCUAGCCUCUCCCUUUGCAGAGAAAACUUGGUGAAAUAAAACUCAACUCUUUGGUUUACCCCUUUCUGCUGACGUCCUUGGUCUGAUGCUAAUUAGCUGUGCCAUUUUAACAGCGUUUACAAACCUUCUUUGAUUCAAGAUGAGUGAUAAGCCAGAUUUGUCUGAAGUGGAGAAGUUUGACAGAUCAAAACUGAAGAAAACUAAUACUGAAGAAAAAAAUACUCUUCCUUCAAAGGAAACUAUCCAACAGGAGAAAGAGUGUGUUCAAACAUCGUAAAAUGGGGAUUUCCUCCCAAGAUCAAAUUUCAACACUGCCUGAGUGUCUUGGAUUUGGGCUCGUUUUUUUUUUGUAAACCUUUGUGUUGUAGAGAUUUUAGGCAUCUUCUGAUGUCUUCUCACCCAUGCUCCCUGGCUAAGAGGUCAGGGGUAGCCAAUUUUCCCUUAUGUUCAUUUUUAAAGUUUUCAUUGGUGCGUAAGUUCCAGCUGGCAGAUGCUGUCAAUAAUCUCACCAUCGAUGAGCUUUGUUUGUGUAGUCCAUGCACCCCCUACAGGAUAAACCACUUUUAAUCUUCUACAAUGAGCGUCUCCAUUGCUCCAUAAUCUUCAUGAAGUUGCAUGCGUUUGCAGCUUCUCACAGUUUAUUUUCAUUUCUAAUGUAGUGAUAAAAUAAUAAAUAUAAUCAUUACGUUGAGACUCCUGUGGUCCAUUCUUGGUGGUCUUCUAAGGAAUGAAAGUAUACAAGGGAUCUCUUUUCAGCCAAACAAAACGGUUGCAGGAAAGCCACUUUAGCAGAUUAGUCACAGGGGAAAGGCUCCCCUCUGUUCAGGUCCAUUGGGUUCUGACUU